UGUAUUACGAGUUCUCCAGAGUGGUGGGGAAAAGUCUGCAAGAUAAUUUCUUUGAUGAACUUGACCGUUUUUCUUUUCCAGCUUUUGGCUGAGCUUUUACGUCAGACAAAGACCACUGAGCCAACAGACAUCAGGUCCCUAUGUCUUCAGGGACUGCCUGUCAUCUUGGCGGAUGAUUUUUCUGCUUUCUUCAGGACGUGCUCUGAUGUAACUGACAAGGACUUGUACAGUGAAACUCCAGUGGAAAUUCUCUGCCUUGGUCAAGAAAAUACCCAGCUCAACCCAUCCAGAGUAGGGAUCAUCUUGGAAGGGUCUGUGGUAAUGGAUGAACUGUCAAACCUACCUCAGGCCUGUGUCCUUUUCGGACUGAUCUAUGCCCUACACCUGGACUACCCCAAGUGCAUAAAAAACACUCAAUUUUAUUCAGCAAGUAAUGCUCAAACUGGGUAAAAGUGAGCUGGUACCCAAAAUUCAAACUUUGAAAAAUCAGCUGGAAGCAUAAAUCGGGUUCAAAAUGGCCCUUCUACUGUUUUAGAUUUGUUUGCCACAGUUUGUAAUGUUGGACUUUUAUGAAAACAUGUUUACUGUUGUGUAAGUUUUGGGGAACAUGUGUUCUGUGGUAUUUGAACUGAUUUUUGCACAAGAUUCCAUGACGCAGGCUUUGAUAAAAUUUAAUUUCAAAUUAGUUGGGUAUUUUAGUUACAUUACCAACUAAAAGCUAAAACAUUUCCUUUUUAGGAGUGUAAGUUACAGUACAGUUUUAAUGUGAUUUGUUGUUAUAAUGAUGUACACAUGCUUGAGCACAAUAAGUGUUUUUGUUGGCAUGAUGGCGCUUUGUUUUAUGCAAUGUUUAGGGCAGGGGUCGGCAACCUUUUUUACUCAAAGAGCCCCUAAUAAAAAAGAAAGCACCCGGAGCCACAACCCGU
This is a long non-coding RNA of Oryzias latipes (Japanese medaka), 926 nucleotides long. RefSeq lists it as uncharacterized. The record is from RefSeq and is a predicted model, not a curated record. Lineage: Eukaryota; Metazoa; Chordata; Actinopteri; Beloniformes; Adrianichthyidae.